This 429-nucleotide ribosomal RNA is filed under the name Actinomycetes bacterium. Its description in RNAcentral is "Actinobacteria bacterium partial 16S ribosomal RNA". It matches the Rfam family "Bacterial small subunit ribosomal RNA", at positions 355 to 776 of the family's 1533-position model. Lineage: Bacteria; Bacillati; Actinomycetota; Actinomycetes. The record is from RNAcentral.
UAGGGAAUCUUCCGCAAUGGGCGAAAGCCUGACGGAGCAACGCCGCGUGAGUGAUGAAGGUCUUCGGAUCGUAAAACUCUGUUAUUAGGGAAGAACAAAUGUGUAAGUAACUAUGCACGUCUUGACGGUACCUAAUCAGAAAGCCACGGCUAAUUACGUGCCAGCAGCCGUGGUAAUACGUAGGUGGCAAGCGUUAUCCGGAAUUAUUGGGCGUAAAGCGCGCGUAGGCGGUUAUUUAAGUCUGAUGUGAAAGCCCACGGCUCAACCGUGGAGAGUCAUUGGAAACUGGAAAACUUGAGUGCAGAAGAGGAAAGUGGAAUUCCAUGUGUAGCGGUGAAAUGCGCAGAGAUAUGGAGGAACACCAGUGGCGAAGGCGACUUACUGGUCUGUAACUGACGCUGAUGUGCGAAAGCGUGGGGAUCAAACAGG